Molecule: long non-coding RNA, 600 nt
Organism: Acipenser ruthenus (sterlet)
Lineage: Eukaryota; Metazoa; Chordata; Actinopteri; Acipenseriformes; Acipenseridae
Exons: 3
Source: RefSeq, a predicted model, not a curated record
GACUUUAAAAAGGGAGAAAAAGAACGUUGAAGAUGAUUUUGAAGAACUUCGAAGGAAAACCAGUAAGAAUAUGUGUUGUGUUUUUAGUAUCGAGGAUUUCUGUCUUUCUAUCUCAUAUAAGUGAAUUCAACACGUGAGGGGUGUGUCUUACUGUAGAAGAGACGUCAUCUCAAGUGCAGUUUUAAGCUUCUGAAAUUCAAUCUCUUCAAUCUGUUUUAAACAGAGACUCUCUACAAACGAAGUCAUACAUUCUUAUUAAUUACAAAAAAAUGAAGAUAGUUCUCGAGAACGACUAUGAAACAGAAGUGUUCUUUAGAAUUGUGUCUCUAAACAGGAUGACCUCAUUUGAGAUAAUAAGCUGACAUAAUAAGAUUGAUGAGACAGUAGUACCUAAAAGUAUAGUGAUAUGAACCAUUGGAUUGCUGCUUGUAUUAUUUUCUCAUUAUGAAUAAUAGCAUCGCUGGUUCUCUGUGUGUCUUGAAUCACAUGAGUUAAUGAACCAGAACACAAGCUAAACUUUUCACUCUUUUCUGUUUUAGACAUUUUAAAAAGAGAGAAUGAGAGACUGGUAAAAGAAAAGGAGGAUCUUCAGAAGAAUUA